ACUCAAAGGAAUUGACGGGGGCCCGCACAAGCGGUGGAGCAUGUGGUUUAAUUCGAUGCAACGCGAGGAACCUUACCAGGGCUUGACAUGCUGGUGGUAGGAGCCCGAAAGGGUAACGACCUCUGGUUUACCAGAGGAGCCAGUACAGGUGCUGCAUGGUUGUCGUCAGCUCGUGUCGUGAGAUGUUGGGUUAAGUCCCACAACGAGCGCAACCCCUGUCCUUAGUUGCCACAGGUAAUGCUGAGCACUCUAAGGAGACUGCCAGGGACAACCUGGAGGAAGGUGGGGAUGACGUCAAAUCCUCAUGGCCCUUAUGUCCUGGGCGACACACGUGCUACAAUGGCUAGUACAGAGGGUUGCAAACCCGUAAGGGGGAGCCAAUCCCAGAAAACUGGCCCCAGUUGGGAUUGUCGGCUGCAACUCGCCGACAUGAACGAGGAAUCGCUAGUAAUCGCGCAUCAGCCACGGCGCGGUGAAUACGUUCCCGGGCCUUGUACACACCGCCCGU
This 508-nucleotide ribosomal RNA is filed under the name uncultured bacterium. Its description in RNAcentral is "bacterial SSU rRNA". It matches the Rfam family "Bacterial small subunit ribosomal RNA", at positions 899 to 1397 of the family's 1533-position model. The record is from RNAcentral.